This is a non-coding RNA of Platichthys flesus (European flounder), 83 nucleotides long. The record is from the annotation of a RefSeq genome assembly. NCBI's taxonomy places the organism in Eukaryota, Metazoa, Chordata, Actinopteri, Pleuronectiformes, Pleuronectidae.
ACCACGAUGGCCGAGUGGUUAAGGCGUUGCACUCAAGUUGCAAAGGACGCAUGUCCUCGUGGGUUCAAAUCCCACUCCUGGUA